This is a non-coding RNA of Pelobates cultripes (western spadefoot toad), 299 nucleotides long. NCBI's taxonomy places the organism in Eukaryota, Metazoa, Chordata, Amphibia, Anura, Pelobatidae. The record is from the annotation of a GenBank genome assembly.
AUUAUGUUUCACCAACUAGGGAAAACUGAGAAUGACAGGACAUGAAAUGACCUGCAGAGUUAUAUGCAGUAUACCAACAGACCAGGAUAACAGAAGGGUCUCAUGGGUUAUAAGAUGUGCCAGAAGGAGUCUAUCAUCUAUGGCCUCAACGGCCAAAGGUGUGGCUCUCUCCCUCAGGGGGAGAAGAAGGUCAUUAACAAAUUUCGUAUCUAUACAAUUCUCAGCAGCUCCUGCAUCGAUAAAAGCUUUACAUGGUAUAUUAUGAGCGCCCCAAGAUAGAACUAUAGAUAGGAGGAAUU